RNAcentral lists this transfer RNA (68 nucleotides) under Agriocnemis femina. RNAcentral describes it as "tRNA-Asn". Lineage: Eukaryota; Metazoa; Arthropoda; Insecta; Odonata; Coenagrionidae. The record is from RNAcentral.
UUAGUUGAAGCCAAAAAAGAGGCCUAUCACUGUUAAUGAUAAAAAUGAAUAAAUUAAUUCCAACUAAG